This 465-nucleotide ribosomal RNA is filed under the name Vreelandella stevensii. RNAcentral describes it as "partial 16S ribosomal RNA". It matches the Rfam family "Bacterial small subunit ribosomal RNA", at positions 338 to 795 of the family's 1533-position model. Lineage: Bacteria; Pseudomonadati; Pseudomonadota; Gammaproteobacteria; Oceanospirillales; Halomonadaceae. The record is from RNAcentral.
CCUACGGGCGGCUGCAGUGGGGAAUAUUGGACAAUGGGCGAAAGCCUGAUCCAGCCAUGCCGCGUGUGUGAAGAAGGCCUUCGGGUUGUAAAGCACUUUCAGUGGGGAAGAAAGCCUUGGGGCUAAUACCCUCGAGGAAGGACAUCACCCACAGAAGAAGCACCGGCUAACUCCGUGCCAGCAGCCGCGGUAAUACGGAGGGUGCGAGCGUUAAUCGGAAUUACUGGGCGUAAAGCGCGCGUAGGCGGUCUGAUAAGCCGGUUGUGAAAGCCCCGGGCUCAACCUGGGAACGGCAUCCGGAACUGUCAGGCUAGAGUGCAGGAGAGGAAGGUAGAAUUCCCGGUGUAGCGGUGAAAUGCGUAGAGAUCGGGAGGAAUACCGGUGGCGAAGGCGGCCUUCUGGACUGACACUGACGCUGAGGUGCGAAAGCGUGGGUAGCAAACAGGAUUAGAUACCCGAGUAGUC